UAUGUGGUGCUCGAUGGUUCA
This 21-nucleotide non-coding RNA is filed under the name Arabidopsis thaliana (thale cress). The record is from RNAcentral. Lineage: Eukaryota; Viridiplantae; Streptophyta; Magnoliopsida; Brassicales; Brassicaceae.